GGCAGAAUUAGAUUGGCUGAUUCUUCUGCCUCCGACCCUAAAUAUUGCCUAAAAAUUCAAUAUAAUAGAUGUAAAGCCAGAAAGAGAUUUUCAUAUAGAUUUGCUCACUUCAGAUCACCGCAAUAAGAGGAAACUGAUGUGCAGUAACUCCAUUUGCUAGUUGCCUUCCAGGAACCAUGCAAAGUUCUGGCAGGCUACAUCAGGCAGCUUGCUAUGAUUUUGCAGAGCUUAUUAAACCCUUUGAUUUUGGAUAAAGCUACUAAAAGUCAAGAAUUAUGGCCAGUGAACCAGCAAGCAGGGUUAUAAGCAGAUUUAUGACACACUAUUUUUCUUAGAUUCUAUGAAAUUUAUAAGCAUUACAGUUUAAUGUUAACUGUUGGGCGGUGAUACACACACAGCCCAUUUCAGAGCCAUAUUAAGGAGACAUGCAAGGUUUAUAAAAUUUCACAGGGACACUGGUGAGGGAAUUGAAAAUCCAUAAGAAAAUAGAAUACAUACAGGUAGUGUUAUGCCCUUAUGAGAUCAUAAUAAUCAGAGCUAUAGAGCUGCUUAAAGUUUCAUGUCACUAAUGAAGCAGUAAGAAGCGUGAAAACAACUUGGUCAAAGACUUUUUGAAUGUGAAAUAACACAGGGGACCUCACAACUUAGAGAAGCUUCACAAUACAGUACUUUUGUUGUAAUAGAAGGUGGCAUGAAAAUGAAAUGCAGAAGAGAGACCAAUUCUUCGGACAAGGCAUUGUAGAAGACCCAGCAGAAGGAAAGGUGCUGCAUCAGUUACUUUUAUAUAGAGAGGUCAGAAAUAUAAAAAUGCAUUCCAGAAAUACCUACAACCUCAAGACCCUCAGAAGACAAGUAUCUACUCUCUAGUUUGUGAUUUUGACAAGAUACGGGCACAGAACUGAGACAGACUGAAGCUCAUACAAAAAAUGCCCGGUAAGCCUUAAAUCAAAGAUAAGAAUUCUGGUAUCUUUAGGAUCAGUUGGCAAUUGAGGUGGAGGUUUUCAGCACUAAAAUGUUGGAACUAUGCAUCUAAAUUCCACCUAAAUUCCACCUAAGGUACCCAAAUCCAUCGCUGGGUCUGGCUUUAAAUUCCAUUAGUUACAUGAACAGAAAGGAAGAAAAUCAAUACUUCAAUUCCAAAUGUGUCUGGAAAUAGAGUUAAUCCAUUAUAUACACAUUGUGUCAUACUGAAACAAUAUAAGAAUUCUUCUCUUACUUUGGAGAACUCACAGCUGCAAUAUUUCAACUCUACUUUGCAGGCUUUUAUCAC
This 1270-nucleotide long non-coding RNA is filed under the name Anas platyrhynchos platyrhynchos (common mallard). RNAcentral describes it as "lncRNA (ENSAPLG00000018307.1)". Lineage: Eukaryota; Metazoa; Chordata; Aves; Anseriformes; Anatidae. The record is from RNAcentral.